This 331-nucleotide long non-coding RNA is filed under the name Gossypium raimondii (Peruvian cotton). RNAcentral's name for it is "long non-coding RNA (GRAI_LNC000687)". Lineage: Eukaryota; Viridiplantae; Streptophyta; Magnoliopsida; Malvales; Malvaceae. The record is from RNAcentral.
UUAUAAUGGAAGAGGACACGGAGGGAAAGGAGGGUAUGGAGGUGGGCACGGAGGGUAUGGUGGUGGUGGCCACGGAGGGUAUGGUGGUGGCCACGGAGGAUAUGGUGGUGGUGGCCACGGAGGAUACGGUGGUGGUGGCCACGGAGGAUACGGUGGUGGUGGCCACGGCGGUCACGGUGGACAUGGAGGAGGUUAUAAAGGAGGCUGCGCCUAUGGCUGCUGUCGUUCAGAUCAUCACGGAAGAGGCUGCCAAAGGUGCUGCUCUUAUGCUGGCGAGGCUGUCGAAGUUGAAACUCACGCCUAAUGUAGCCUUUUGCAUUUAUAGUUGGCA